GAUGAACGCUGGCGGCGUGCCUAAUACAUGCAAGUCGAGCGAACAGACGAGGAGCUUACUCCUCUGACGUUAGCGGCGGACGGGUGAGUAACACGUGGAUAACCUACCUAUAAGACUGGGAUAACUUCGGGAAACCGGAGCUAAUACCGGAUAACAUGUUGAACCGCAUGGUUCAACAGUGAAAGACGGUCUUGCUGUCACUUAUAGAUGGAUCCGCGUCGCAUUAGCUAGUUGGUAAGGUAACGGCUUACCAAGGCGACGAUGCGUAGCCGACCUGAGAGGGUGAUCGGCCACACUGGAACUGAGACACGGUCCAGACUCCUACGGGAGGCAGCAGUAGGGAAUCUUCCGCAAUGGGCGAAAGCCUGACGGAGCAACGCCGCGUGAGUGAAGAAGGUCUUCGGAUCGUAAAACUCUGUUAUUAGGGAAGAACAAAUGUGUAAGUAACUAUGCACGUCUUGACGGUACCUAAUCAGAAAGCCACGGCUAACUACGUG
Molecule: ribosomal RNA, 497 nt
Filed under: uncultured bacterium
Lineage: Bacteria
Description: partial 16S ribosomal RNA
Rfam family: Bacterial small subunit ribosomal RNA
Source: RNAcentral